AUGACAAGUAGUAGAGUAAGAGGGCUGGAAGAGGUUAUUAAGGUGAAAAAAUAUGAAAAGCUGUGGAGAAAGAGGGCUGGAAGAGUUAAUAAUGGUGAAAAGGGGCUAAAAAGGAUGACAAGCAGUAGAGUAAGAGGGCUGGAGGAGGUUAAAAAGGUGAAAAAAUAUGAAAAGCUGUGGAGAAAGAGGGCUGGAAGAGUUAAUAAUGGUGAAAAGGGGCUAAAAAGGAUGACAAGCAGUAGAGUAAGAGGGCUGGAGGAGGUUAAAAAGGUGAAAACAUGUGAAAAGUUGUAGAGUAAGAAGGGAUGGAAGAGGUUAAAAAGGUGAAAACGUGAAAAGCUGUAAAGAAAGAGGGCUGGAAGAGGUUAAAAUGGUGAAAACAUAUGAACAGCUGUAGAGUAAGAGGGCUUGAACAGGUUAAAAAGGUGAAAAAAUAUGAACAGUUGUAGAUCAAGUGGGCUGGAAGAGGUUAAAAAGGUGAAAAAAGGAUGAAAAUGUAUAAAAGUCAAAGGGCGAAAGAGCUCAAAUAGGUGAACAAAGGAUGAAAAGGUAAAAAGAUGUAGAGCAAGACUGCUGGAAGAGCUCAAAAUGGCCGCACAUACGCUGGAAAAGGAGCAACCAUGGAGCAAGCCAACAAGAUUUUCUAGAUUUCUAUGUAUAUAUUGCCUAUGUCAAGUGAAAGAUGUGGAAUCCAUAUCCAGCUGAAGAGAAUUCUUUCUCCAGAUUUUCCAGCUGCUCUACACUGUAGCAAUGAUGUCACACACUCUGGCUCCCGCACUAAACACGCAUUCUUCAGAUACACACGUGGAGAAGUACAGAGAGUAAGAUCAAAGUGUCCCCAUAAGAAAUGACUGGGAGAACCUCUCCCAAACUCCUACGAUUUCUGAAAAAACUGUAAUGGUAAUUGCCGAAAUUUGUGUAUGUUGAGUGACAGGAGACCUUGCUGAACACGUUGAUGUUAUUUUCAUUUCAGUCGAGUGAGAAAUGAGGGCACAUCAGCGAGAGACAAAUCAGGUACCGUCUGCUCUCGGCCAGAAAUCUGGGCUCAAAAUUAACAUUGCGGCUUAUGGACCAAGGUUUUGGGUUCGUGUCGCUCCCGGGCUUCUAAAUCCAAAACUGUAUGUCCCACAUCUGAAAUGAGGCAACCAGCUGACACCCAACAAGUUUUCCUACAUUUCUAUCCAUAUAUUGUGUAUGUCAGGUAAAAGGUGUGGGAUCAAAAUCAAGCUGAAGACAGUUUCGGCUCCCAUUCUUCGAAAGGCUCCCCACUCUGGCGAUGAUGUCACCCACUCUAACCGACGCAAUACACACCCAUUAUAAAAUCAGAAGACGGGCUCAAAAUCCUUAAAACUAAAACUGCGAUAUUUUCAAAACCGUACUAAAGUUUUAAAAACUGAAUACAUCGCCAAUAGUUCAAGGUCUUGAGACCGUUUUAAAGUUUGAAUGGUGUCUCUCGCUCAAUGUAUGAGGGAGAAGAUGAGGCUGAAAGUCGAUGAGUUUUGAAGAGGAUUUGAAGCUUUUCCCAUCUGCUGCAAUGUUAAUUUUUUUUGGAAAAAGCUGAAUUAUUGAAAAAGUUGAAAAGUUGAAAAGUUGAAAAGCAUAAGGUUGAAAGAGCUGAACGAGCUGAACAUUUGAAUGUUUGAAUGGUUUGAAUAGCUGAACGUAUGCUGAAGUUAUAGCAGAAUGAAAUUUGAAAAAAUCCCCAUAAGAGUGAAUGGGCAAAAUUUUGCAGAAAAAGCUGAAUAUUUCCAAAAGUAUAAAAGGUAGAAAUGAGAAAAAUAGACCCGAUCAUGUCCUAAACAAGCUGAACAUUUUGAUAUUUGAAUGGUUUGAAUCGGUCAAGAUUUGUAGGAGGAGAUAGGUGCCAAAAAACGUACGGAAUCUUGAAUAAUAAGAAGAACUUUAAUAAAUUCCAGAAGAACAAUAGUGUGAAUGCUGAUGACUCAGCAUUCACACUAAUAAAUUCCAGAAGAACAAUAGUGUGAAUGCUGAGUCAGCAUUCACACUAAUAAUAAUAAUAAUAAUAAUAAUAAAUUCCAGAAGAACAAUAGUGUGAAUGCUUGCAGCAUUCACACUAAUAAUAAAUUCCAGAAGAACAAUAGUGUGAAUGCUUGCAGCAUUCACACUAAUAAAAAUUGAAAGAAUGCACAACGUCUCUGCUUCUGUUGUAUUCUUUUAUUGUUGUUGAUGGCAAUGAAGCCUGUUUCAAUGCAAAUUUAUGGUGUCUG
Molecule: long non-coding RNA, 2228 nt
Filed under: Sparus aurata (gilthead seabream)
Lineage: Eukaryota; Metazoa; Chordata; Actinopteri; Spariformes; Sparidae
Description: lncRNA (ENSSAUG00010024963.1)
Source: RNAcentral